Molecule: ribosomal RNA, 356 nt
Filed under: uncultured bacterium
Lineage: Bacteria
Description: bacterial SSU rRNA
Rfam family: Bacterial small subunit ribosomal RNA
Source: RNAcentral
AGAGUUUGAUCAUGGCUCAGGAUGAACGCUAGCUACAGGCUUAACACAUGCAAGUCGAGGGGAAACGAUAUUGGAAGCUUGCUUCCGAUAGGCGUCGACCGGCGCACGGGUGAGUAACGCGUAUCCAACCUGCCCACCACUUGGGGAUAACCUUGCGAAAGUAAGACUAAUACCCAAUGAUAUCUCUAGAAGACAUCUGAAAGAGAUUAAAGAUUUAUCGGUGAUGGAUGGGGAUGCGUCUGAUUAGCUUGUUGGCGGGGUAACGGCCCACCAAGGCAACGAUCAGUAGGGGUUCUGAGAGGAAGGUCCCCCACAUUGGAACUGAGACACGGUCCAAACUCCUACGGGAGGCGGUA